This 253-nucleotide ribosomal RNA is filed under the name uncultured bacterium. Its description in RNAcentral is "partial 16S ribosomal RNA". It matches the Rfam family "Bacterial small subunit ribosomal RNA", at positions 524 to 776 of the family's 1533-position model. The record is from RNAcentral.
UACAGAGGUGGCAAGCGUUGUUCGGAUUCAUUGGGCGUAAAGGGCGCGUAGGCUGCGGGGCAAGUCGGGUGUGAAAUCUCAGAGCUCAACUCUGAAACUGCACUCGAUACUGCUUUGCUCGAGGACUGGAGAGGAGAUUGGAAUUCACGGUGUAGCAGUGAAAUGCGUAGAUAUCGUGAGGAAGACCAGUGGCGAAGGCGGAUCUCUGGACAGUUCCUGACGCUGAGGCGCGAAGGCCAGGGGAGCAAACGGG